CAUCUGCAACCGCACACAGAUGGUUAGAAGUGAAUCUAAAAAAGAUUUCACCAUUUCGUGGCGAGUCUAAGUAUUU
RNAcentral lists this small RNA (76 nucleotides) under Lactobacillus iners. Lineage: Bacteria; Bacillati; Bacillota; Bacilli; Lactobacillales; Lactobacillaceae. The record is from RNAcentral.